GAUGAACGCUGGCGGCGUGCCUAAUACAUGCAAGUCGAGCGAACGGACGAGAAGCUUGCUUCUCUGAUGUUAGCGGCGGACGGGUGAGUAACACGUGGAUAACCUACCUAUAAGACUGGGAUAACUUCGGGAAACCGGAGCUAAUACCGGAUGAUAUUUUGAACCGCAUGGUUCAAAAGUGAAAGACGGUCUUGCUGUCACUUAUAGAUGGAUCCGCGCUGCAUUAGCUAGUUGGUAAGGUAACGGCUUACCAAGGCAACGAUGCAUAGCCGACCUGAGAGGGUGAUCGGCCACACGAGAACUGAGACGCGGUCCAGACUCCUACGAGAGGCAGCAGUAGGGAAUCGUCCGCAAUGGGCGAAAGCCUGACGGAGCAACGCCGCGUGAGUGAUGAAAGUCUUCGGAUCGUAAAACUCUGUUAUUAGGGAAGAACAUAUGUGUAAGUAACUGUGCACAUCUUGACGGUACCUAAUCAGAAAGCCACGGCUAACUACGUG
Molecule: ribosomal RNA, 497 nt
Filed under: uncultured bacterium
Lineage: Bacteria
Description: partial 16S ribosomal RNA
Rfam family: Bacterial small subunit ribosomal RNA
Source: RNAcentral